RNAcentral lists this ribosomal RNA (371 nucleotides) under uncultured organism. RNAcentral describes it as "partial 16S ribosomal RNA". It matches the Rfam family "Bacterial small subunit ribosomal RNA", at positions 527 to 896 of the family's 1533-position model. The record is from RNAcentral.
GUAGGGGGCAAGCGUUGUCCGGAAUUAUUGGGCGUAAAGCGCGCGCAGGCGGUCUCUUAAGUCUGAUGUGAAAGCCCACGGCUCAACCGUGGAGGGUCAUUGGAAACUGGGAGACUUGAGUGUAGGAGAGGAAAGUGGAAUUCCACGUGUAGCGGUGAAAUGCGUAGAUAUGUGGAGGAACACCAGUGGCGAAGGCGACUUUCUGGCCUACAACUGACGCUGAGGCGCGAAAGCGUGGGGAGCAAACAGGGAUUAGAUACCCUGGUAGUCCACGCUGUAAACGAUGAGUGCUAGGUGUUAGGGGUUUCGAUGCCCUUAGUGCCGAAGUUAACACAUUAAGCACUCCGCCUGGGAGUACGGCCGCAAGGCUG